UUUUUAUUUCUGAUUGAAAACUGAUGUCAUUUGGAGUGUGUUUGAGCUUGUGCUUGGAAGUUUGAUGAUUAUGGAUGCAAGUUUGUUCAUGUUCCAAACACCAUAAGUUUGCAUUGGUCUUUUGUAUGCAGUAGGUGUGUGUGAGUUUGUAUUCAAUAAUGAUGAAAAAAGAGAGAGUUUAGAUUGUUGUAACAUGAGAGAAAUGGAAGGUAUAUGAAUGUGUUUUUUGUGUAGCUUCACGAAUAUGGUCAUUGUCUUACUUGGGUCUUAUUGAAUCAUUUCUAUAUUACAGAUAAAAUGGCUAGUAACCAAGACGAUACCCAUGACGCGAGUGGAUCACGUAACAAUGUUGAAAAAGAAAUCAAACGAGGAUUGACUGUUAUGAAGUCA
RNAcentral lists this long non-coding RNA (390 nucleotides) under Lathyrus oleraceus (garden pea). RNAcentral describes it as "Pisum sativum (pea) long non-coding RNA (PSAT_LNC013696)". Lineage: Eukaryota; Viridiplantae; Streptophyta; Magnoliopsida; Fabales; Fabaceae. The record is from RNAcentral.